Molecule: RNA transcript, 2262 nt
Organism: Manihot esculenta (cassava)
Lineage: Eukaryota; Viridiplantae; Streptophyta; Magnoliopsida; Malpighiales; Euphorbiaceae
Exons: 2
Source: RefSeq, a predicted model, not a curated record
UGUUUUUACUCAUCCUGCUCCUCCGGCGCCGCUUACCAACCGCCACUGCGCCCAUGGCCUCCGCGGCGUCGAAGCAUCUCGAUCUCGAUAUCACCAUAAUCUCUGCUAAACACCUUAAGAACGUUAAUUGGCGAAAAGGCGAUCUGAAACCAUAUGCAACUUUGUACCUAGAUAACUCGGAUCACCGGCUUGCUACUGAUUCCGAUGACUCGGGCUCCACUAAGCCCGUUUGGAACGAGCGAUUCACCCUGCCUAUUACUCGUCCCAAAAGUGAUUCCAUCCUCACUCUCGAGAUCCUUCACUGUGAACCAUCUGAAACUCCUAAGCCUCUUGUUGGUUCUGUAAAGUUUCCACUGAGUCAGCUUCUCGACUCGGACAAUUCCAACAAUUCAGUUCGCACUCUCGAUCUCAUUCGUCCUUCAGGCCGUCCACAAGGUAAGGUCCGCGUGAAACUGGCCGUAAAAGAACAAUCUUUCCAUCCGGUGAUGCAAGAUUACCAUUUUCCCCCCAUGUAUAGUCAUCAUUACAAUCCCGCCCCUACACCUCCGUCUCCUCCGUCGCGCGACUACAGAGAUUCCCCUCCCUCUCCGUACCCUUACUUUGAUCACUAUGGCUACUACUCGUCCUAUUAUCCACAGCAACAGCAUCCCUCUCGACCGUUGUAUAAUCGAGCAUCCAAUUACAACUUGCCAACGGGCCCUUCCGCUCCCGUUGAUCCGUCGUCGUCGUCAUCUUAUGAUCACAGACGGUUGCCAUCGCCGCCGGCAUCGUUGCAGAAGUCUUAUAAUUAUUGUGUACCAAGUGGGCCGUCGGCUCCUAUUGAUUAUUCGUCGGCUUAUGAGAGGAUUAGCGGUGGGAACCAGCUCUCCCGCACAAUGGAAGGGUUAAAACAGGUUCAGGAGGAAGAGAGUAACAACGAGAAGGAGAAAGUUGCGGGUUGGGAAAGUCACAGUUAUCGUGAUUAUCGCCGUGGGUAUUGAAGCAUUUGGUUGAGAGGAAGGUAUAUUUGAGUAAUUUACUGUAGUGUUUGAAGUUUGUAGAUUUGUGGAAUGUACUUGUAUAUGUGUGAAUGAUUAUAACUGCAGAUGCUGUUUUGUUUUCGUAUUUAUGUUUUCAAUUAGUUUUGUGUUUAUUUCAAUUCUUGUUAUAGCAGAGGAGUAUGAAUUGGUUUAACUACAGUCUACAGUGUGUUAGGAUCACUUGGUGUUUGGUUGGAUUUUUUUUUUUUGUUUGUUGCUCUUCCGCAUGGGCUUGCAUUAGGUAUAUCUUUCUGCCCCAUUUGUUGAAACUUCCUAAUUUUCAUAGUUAUAAACGUCAUCUACACUUGCGUCUCUCUUGCUAAUCAAUUCAUGCAAAAUAACAAUAAUUGUUUAAUCUAAUGAGUGUCAGAUGUUGUAUGUCAGCAAUCUAUCCUUUUUGGUUGGUAUGGUUUGUUUUCUGUGGGAAGAAGUCUAGACCUGUGCUUAUGUUUUGUAUACCUUCUGUGGUUCUUUCAAUAGCUGUCUUGUACUGUCAGUUUAUUAGUGGUGUUCAUUAUGAAACAAUAAGUGGUGAAGACAUGCUUGUACCUUUUAACAAAAUAUGAUAGGCUUUCUGAUACAGGUUUAUAUAGUGAUUCUUCCUAGUGUUAUUGUUAUGUUCAUCCUUCCCCGUUAUGGGCAGAGGGUGGCUGUAAUGAAUCACAGCUGGUGAAACACUUCAUGGUCAUUCAUAUAUUGGUUCAUCUCUAUCUUAUUGGACACAAUGCUACUUGUCAUAGACUCUGAGCAAGGAGUUGCGGCCAGUGGGGCAAAGACAGGGCUCUCAGGGAUGGUAUCAAUAAGAUUAUGUAGCAGAUUUUGCUUAUGUGAACUUGGAAACAUAGCACUAUGAUUUUGUUGCUGUUGGGUAACAGCAGCAAUCUGACAUGAGAACUUCAAGCUAAGAUGGAUGGGUACUUUAUAAUGCCUGAAAUGUUGGAUUUCAGAAUGAUGAUCUGGCUAGUGGUAAAGGCGCAGUGAUGAUUUAGCUCAGGUGGGCUACUGAGUGGUUCAACUAACCUGGUUUGCUUAGAAUGAUUAGGUUGGCAUCUAGAAUUGGUUUGCACAUCUCUUAAAUUACUGAAAUAUUUGUUGCUCCUGUUGCUUGUUAUAAGCUUAUUCUGCAAAAUAUGUACCUUAAAAGUUGAAUAUAGAAAUGAAUGUUUCAGGCUUAUGGUCCAAACUGGUGUAAUAUCAUGAAGAAUUGGAAAUCUAUAUUUAAGAGCAGAUUUUUUUUCCCCCA